This 1036-nucleotide ribosomal RNA is filed under the name Proteus mirabilis. RNAcentral describes it as "bacterial LSU rRNA". It matches the Rfam family "Bacterial large subunit ribosomal RNA", at positions 1770 to 2805 of the family's 2925-position model. The record is from RNAcentral. Lineage: Bacteria; Pseudomonadati; Pseudomonadota; Gammaproteobacteria; Enterobacterales; Morganellaceae.
AAGCCAGUCGAAGAUACCAGCUGGCUGCAACUGUUUAUUAAAAACACAGCACUGUGCAAACACGAAAGUGGACGUAUACGGUGUGACGCCUGCCCGGUGCUGGAAGGUUAAUUGAUGGGGUUAGCGUAAGCGAAGCUCCUGAUCGAAGCCCCAGUAAACGGCGGCCGUAACUAUAACGGUCCUAAGGUAGCGAAAUUCCUUGUCGGGUAAGUUCCGACCUGCACGAAUGGCGUAAUGAUGGCCAGGCUGUCUCCACCCGAGACUCAGUGAAAUUGAACUCGCUGUGAAGAUGCAGUGUACCCGCGGCAAGACGGAAAGACCCCGUGAACCUUUACUAUAGCUUGACACUGAACAUUGAGCCUUGAUGUGUAGGAUAGGUGGGAGGCUUUGAAGUGUGGACGCCAGUCUGCAUGGAGCCAACCUUGAAAUACCACCCUUUAACGUUUGAUGUUCUAACCUAGGCCCAUAAACUGGGUCGGGGACCGUGUCUGGUGGGUAGUUUGACUGGGGCGGUCUCCUCCUAAAGAGUAACGGAGGAGCACGAAGGUUGGCUAAGCAUGGUCGGACAUCAUGCGGUUAGUGCAAAGGCAUAAGCCAGCUUGACUGCGAGAGUGACGGCUCGAGCAGGUACGAAAGUAGGUCUUAGUGAUCCGGUGGUUCUGAAUGGAAGGGCCAUCGCUCAACGGAUAAAAGGUACUCCGGGGAUAACAGGCUGAUACCGCCCAAGAGUUCAUAUCGACGGCGGUGUUUGGCACCUCGAUGUCGGCUCAUCACAUCCUGGGGCUGAAGUAGGUCCCAAGGGUAUGGCUGUUCGCCAUUUAAAGUGGUACGCGAGCUGGGUUUAGAACGUCGUGAGACAGUUCGGUCCCUAUCUGCCGUGGGCGUUGGAAGAUUGAGAGGGGUUGCUCCUAGUACGAGAGGACCGGAGUGAACGCACCACUGGUGUUCGGGUUGUCAUGCCAAUGGCAUUGCCCGGUAGCUAAGUGCGGAAGAGAUAACCGCUGAAAGCAUCUAAGCGGGAAACUUGCCUCGAGAU